CCCUAUUAAAAAUGACACCAGGGACUUUAUUUUAAAGAAAGCUAUGUGUGUCACAGCCAUGAAUAAAUUAGCCCGCAGCAGUAUUCUUAGAGUGGAACAACAUUAUUUUUUUCAGUUUAGGAGGCUGAGGCCAGAGAAAAUGAAUGUUUCUUCCUGAGCAAACAGGAAGACGCUGGCCUGGGAUGACUCCCAGUCAGGGGCGUUGCCUGGUGCCUUCCUGCCUCCCUGGGAUCCAACAUGGCGCCCAUCACCCAGGCCAGCUUCGUCCCCUCAGGCUUCUCCGUGGGUGUCAGACUUGUCAGGGACCACCAGAGCUGUCAGGCGUCCUUGUCUGCUAUGAACUCGGGAUGCCUCUUGCUCACUGAGGCAUUAUCCUCCAACAAGUGACUGGUUAAUUCCUUAAUCACCUGUUUGAGUCGUCCCUCUGCAUACCAGGCCUCACUUCCUAUUUCCUCGUGGUUCUGAGAUGGUCGGAAAGGGAGCAGAAAAUCUUUCUUUAGCAUCAGUUUGAUGAGAUGCUGGAUGUCUUACCUCUCACAGGCAGCAGGGGUUACCUACUUUUCACCCCAUUGAAGGUCCAGUCCAGCUCUGUGGUCCAGUUGACAACCAUCACCAUAGCAACUUAUAUACUCAUUUCUAGCAAGAAUAAAUAAAUAUGUCUUGAAGGGCAGGCUGUCACCAUUCUACUUGAUAUUGAUUCUGCUGCUCAUGGACUUAAAAAAAGCUACCUUUUUUGUUUUGAAAUAAGUGUAGCUGGCCGGGAACAAUGACUCACGUCUGUAAUCCCAACACUUUGCAAGACCGAGACGGGUGGAUCACCUGAAGUCAGGAGUUCGAGACCAACCUGGAAAACAUGGUGAAACCCCAUCUCUACUAAUAGUACAAAAAAAUUAGCCAGGUUUGGUGGUGCAUGCCUGUAAGUCCAGCUACUCGGGAGGCUGAGGCAGAUAAUUGCUUGACCCUGGGAGGUGGAGGUUGCAGUAGGCCGAGAUCACUCCACUUCACUCCAGCCUGGGCGACAGAGCGAGA
RNAcentral lists this long non-coding RNA (1029 nucleotides) under Homo sapiens (human). RNAcentral's name for it is "HSALNT0251798". Lineage: Eukaryota; Metazoa; Chordata; Mammalia; Primates; Hominidae. The record is from RNAcentral.